CUGGGAAUUUUGCGCAAUGGGCGAAAGCCUGACGCAGCAACGCCGCGUGGGGGAUGAAGGCCUUCGGGUUGUAAACUCCUUUUAGUUGGGACGAAAUCAAUGACGGUACCGACAGAAAAAGCACCGGCUAACUCUGUGCCAGCAGCCGCGGUAAUACAGAGGGUGCAAGCGUUAUUCGGAUUCACUGGGCAUAAAGGGCGCGUAGGCGGUUUGGCAAGUCUGAUGUGAAAUCCCUCGACUCAAUCGAGGAAGUGCAUUGGAUACUACCAGACUAGAGUAUAGGAGAGGUGAGCGGAAUUCCUGGUGUAGAGGUUAAAUUCGUAGAUAUCAGGAGGAACAUCGGUGGCGAAGGCGGCUCACUGGACUAUCACUGACGCUGAGUGCGCGAAAGCAUGGGGAGCAAACAGG
This 408-nucleotide ribosomal RNA is filed under the name uncultured bacterium. RNAcentral's name for it is "bacterial SSU rRNA". It matches the Rfam family "Bacterial small subunit ribosomal RNA", at positions 355 to 776 of the family's 1533-position model. The record is from RNAcentral.